UUACUGACGCUGAAGCUCGAAGGUGCGGGUAUCGAACAGGAUUAGAUACCCUGGUAGUCCGCACGGUAAACGAUGGAUGCUCGUUGUUCGCCCAAUUGAGGGUGAGUGACUUAGGGAAACCGUUAAGCAUCCCACCUGGGGAGUACGCCGGCAACGGUGAAACUCAAAGGAAUUGACGGGGGCCCGCACAAGCGGAGGAACAUGUGGUUUAAUUCGAUGAUACGCGAGGAACCUUACCCGGGCUUGAACUGUAGGAGAACGAUUCAGAGAUGAUGAGGCCCUUCGGGGCUCCUAUGGAGGUGCUGCAUGGUUGUCGUCAGCUCGUGCCGUGAGGUGUCGGCUUAAGUGCCAUAACGAGCGCAACCCCUUUCGCCAGUUGCCAUCAGGUAGUGCUGGGCACUCUGGCGACACUGCCGCCGCAAGGUGUGAGGAAGGUGGGGAUGACGUCAAAUCAGCACGGCCCUUACGUCCGGGGCUACACACGUGUUACAAUGGGGCAUACAGAAGGCCGGUCCGCGGCAACGCGGAUCCAAUCUUUAAAAUGCCUCGUAGUUCGGAUUGGGGUCUGCAACCCGACCCCAUGAAGCUGGAUUCGCUAGU
RNAcentral lists this ribosomal RNA (600 nucleotides) under uncultured bacterium. RNAcentral describes it as "bacterial SSU rRNA". It matches the Rfam family "Bacterial small subunit ribosomal RNA", at positions 737 to 1339 of the family's 1533-position model. The record is from RNAcentral.